RNAcentral lists this ribosomal RNA (500 nucleotides) under uncultured bacterium. RNAcentral describes it as "partial 16S ribosomal RNA". It matches the Rfam family "Bacterial small subunit ribosomal RNA", at positions 30 to 523 of the family's 1533-position model. The record is from RNAcentral.
AUUGAACGCUGGCGGCAGGCCUAACACAUGCAAGUCGAGCGGUUGACGGGAGCUUGCUCCCCGAUUCAGCGGCGGACGGGUGAGUAAUGCCUAGGAAUCUGCCUAUUAGUGGGGGACAACGUUUCGAAGGGAACGCUAAUACCGCAUACGUCCUACGGGAGAAAGCAGGGGACCUUCGGGCCUUGCGCUAAUAGAUGAGCCUAGGUCGGAUUAGCUUGUUGGUGAGGUAAUGGCUCACCAAGGCGACGAUCCGUAACUGGUCUGAGAGGAUGAUCAGUCACACUAGAACUGAGACACGGUCCAGACUCCUACGGGAGGCAGCAGUGGGGAAUAUUGGACAAUGGGCGAAAGCCUGAUCCAGCCAUGCCGCGUGUGUGAAGAAGGUCUUCGGAUUGUAAAGCACUUUAAGUUGGGAGGAAGGGUUGUAGAUUAAUACUCUGCAAUUUUGACGUUACCGACAGAAUAAGCACCGGCUAACUCUGUGCCAGCCGCCGCAGUAA